This is a long non-coding RNA of Homo sapiens (human), 1026 nucleotides long. NCBI's taxonomy places the organism in Eukaryota, Metazoa, Chordata, Mammalia, Primates, Hominidae. The record is from Ensembl.
AGCAUUUGGUGGGAGGCCCUGGACCUAGAAACAAAAAAUGAAAGUGGAGAAAACCAAACAAGAAUCUUUCUUUCUUAAAGUAAACAUCGGACUGACAUCUCCUUUCAAACAUUCAUUGAGGAUCUACUCUGUGAGAAGAAGCAAUACCAUGUUAUCUCAUUCUAGUUCCAGUUCUAGUUGACUUGAUUGUCAAACGACUGCUAAGAAGUAGAGAGGAGGCUUCACCAUGUUUGCCAGGCUAGUCUGGAACUCUUGACCUCAGGUGAUCCACCCACCUCGGCCUCCCAAAGUGCUAGGAUUACAGGCAUGAGCCACCUCGCCCAGCUGUUUCUGUGUCACGUUUUGAUACUUGAAUAAAAAUGACACUUUGGAGCCUUGAAAAAUGGACUUUCCUUCUGAAGUACCCAGGAGAGUAGGAUGGACUUCUUCCUCUCUCCCUACACUAUCCCUUGGAGAAAACCUUUUAUCAAGAAGAUACCAAAUAUCAUCACUGAUAUAAUGUCAGAGGAGGCCACUCUCUAUAGCCCAACCUCCAGGAUUUCAGCACUUCGUGGACAUGGAGGCUGGUGAAAUAGAGGAGAUGACAUGAAUGAGGGACUACAUUGGAAUGAAGAAGAACCUGGAGGAGGUAAAAAAACUGAAGGCUCCGGAUGUCGGACGAUGGAAAAUAAAAACAACAAGCAAGUGAAACUCCCUGACUUAUCAACCUUACUCAAGAAAUGGGAAUUUCUGCCCUAGAGAGGUCUUGGAAACUUUCUCACCAGAAGAGCACAACUUGAUGGCAGGAAGCUCCUGAUGGAGGCCUGAAAAUGGCCCUGAAAGGGAUGCCAGGGGACCAGGGCUCCACUAUUAUCAGCGUGUGACUUUGGACAAGGAUGUUAAUGGCUCUGUGACUCAGUUACCUCUUCUGUACUUUGCUUAGGGGUCUAUUGCUUUCCAUUUUGUCUUUUUCAUUUGUUAAAUCCAAUGAUGUCACUGACAGUAAAAACUAGUAAAUAGUAAAAAAAAAAAAAAAAAAAAGUAAAA